Molecule: ribosomal RNA, 253 nt
Filed under: uncultured bacterium
Lineage: Bacteria
Description: partial 16S ribosomal RNA
Rfam family: Bacterial small subunit ribosomal RNA
Source: RNAcentral
CACGUAGGGCGCAAGCGUUGCCCGGAAUUAUUGGGCGUAAAGAGCUCGUAGGUGGUCUGUUGCGUCCGCUGUGAAAACUCGGGGCUUAACCCCGAGCCUGCAGUGGAUACGGGCAGACUAGAGGUAGGUAGGGGAGAAUGGAAUUCCUGGUGUAGCGGUGAAAUGCGCAGAUAUCAGGAGGAACACCGGUGGCGAAGGCGGUUCUCUGGGCCUUACCUGACACUGAGGAGCGAAAGCGUGGGGAGCGAACAGG